Molecule: non-coding RNA, 1749 nt
Organism: Paramuricea clavata
Lineage: Eukaryota; Metazoa; Cnidaria; Anthozoa; Malacalcyonacea; Plexauridae
Source: the annotation of a GenBank genome assembly
CCCCUGGUUUUUGGGCAAAUAUUUAAUACGAUAUAGAUAUUUAAAAGUGUUCUGUUGUUUUUGAGCUAAAAAAUCUUAAUAUUUCCCUCGAAUAUUACUUGGUUUACAACGCGGAGCGAGGGUGCGGGUUUGCUUCGCUUGUGGAUGCAGCAUUUCACUACAAAGACUACAAAGAAAGACUAAUUCUUUCAGGUAAGAUUCACGAAACUUUUUUAUAACUUUCUAGACGACUAGACUGCUAGACUGCUAGAUAUGAAGGGUCAUAUUAUAUCGAAAACUCAUCAUCCUAAUAUGUACAGCAAAUAUUUCAAUAGGGGACAUAAAAGUAUUGUUAACGAUUAAACAUUGUGUACAUGAAAUUAUGUUGUUUUGUGUCAGCACUGGUCUUUGUGGUUUUAUUGCCAGUUUUUAUUUAAUAUACUAAAAAUUGUGUUUGUUUACAUGUUCAUAUAUUUUAAAACGUUUAUUAAAUAUGGUGUGAAAUUUACAUACUUGCCCAUCACAGUGCAGAAUUAGUAUAUACAGAUAAGCACAAGACUAGAGAGAGUUGAGCCGUAGAGGAGGCCCACCUACAUGUGACAAUGCAUGUGCCCUGUCCUGAUGAGCCCUAAAGACUGUCUUUAUUAUUUUACUCUGUCUGUCUAAUGCCAGACGAUUUUAAGGGGAUUGAGACUGCUCCCUGCUGCCACACAGUGGGUUAAUUACACUAUCUGCAAAUGAGCAGCCCCUGAGAUAUAUAAUCAGCCAAUUAAGCUGCAAUGAACCCUGGCUACUUUCUUAUUUUACUCAAUCUGUGAGAUUAAAUCCAGAUGUUUUACUCAUCAAGGGAAGAGUCUUAAAAAUAGAUAUCAUUUUGUCAUUGUCUGUUCAGAACUAUAUAAAAUUAUAUAGUUUUACACAGUAUGAUGUCAUAGUUAUUGGCAAGAACAAAAAUGUUUCCCACAAGCUGCCGGAAAUUAAGUGAGUCACUGAUACACUAAUCAUGAGGUAAAUUCGUAAUGCUACAACAUUUCUAACAAGGGCGGAUUUUCAUUUAUUUAAAAGGAGGGGUAGAAAAAUUUCUGGUGGGGUGCAAGCGGCACCACUCAGUGAGCUUUGGUAGGGGUUAGGCAUUUGGGAAUAAAGCCUUUCACACAAAAUGGGAGGGUUGAAACAGAAUUUUGGUGGGGUUGGACACUUUAUUAGACGGGUUUAAACUCCCCGCCCCCCUCAACUGUCAAGUAAAUCCACCCAUGACUUCUAACAUUGGGAGUAUAUAGUGAUGUCCGAUUGGCCAUGACACAGCCUGUGAGAAAUUAUGAUGAAAAUUUGAUCAUAAUAGUUAAGUUGACAUAUUUUAGCAGUUAGUUAGGAAUGUAAUAAUUGCAUUGCUGAAUAUUGAAACAUAAGAUUUAAUUUUGAAGCUCAAAUCAAUUACUGGUCUUGGUAAAAACAGAUCAUGUAAUUGCACUCUCCCCUUGACUAGUAAAAUUGUCUGGCAUUAGGUAGAUUAAAAUAAUACAGUAAGGCAUAUCAAGACACAUUGCCACUUGUGAAGGAUUAACAUAUGUGUAUAUGAUAUUAUUGUGAUGUAAAGAUGUACAUGUAUAAUGUAUCAUGAUAAUAAUGUCAUCUUUUAUUUUGCAGAAAUUAUAUGUUUAAUAUACACAAGAGAUGGCACAGGAGAGGCAUCAACAUGCAGAAAAACAACAAAAUGAAUUAGUUCAUUAUAAUACCAUGCAUAACAACAUAAAUAAUUAUAUGAUUAUG